UUUUGUGUACUUUAUAAUCCUGUUAAAAUUGCAUUUGCCUCCAAAAGUAAACACUAGUUCUUAAUACUAUGCUUUUGUAUAUGCUGAUCCCUCUGUUUUGAAUGCAUCCUGAAUCCCUGUCAAAUUUAAUGAAUAUCCACUUAUUUUGAUACUUAGCUAACAUUACAGCCUUCCAGAAAUAUUUUUCCACCUGAGAUAUACAUGACUAUUUCCUCCUUUGUGCCACUACUAUACCACUACUAUAUACUUCUAAUUUAGUUCUAGAACCGUUAUUACGAUGUUUAAAAAUAUAUCUAUCCAUACCUAUACAAUCUUUAGUUUCUUGAAUUUCUUAUAUUCCCGGCUCCUAGCAUAACGUAAGGCAUACAGUGGAUGCUGAGUAAGAGUUCUGGACUAAAUAAUAUAUAAAUGGAUCAUUUCACAAUCUUUUUCCCUAAAAUCUUAUUAUCCCAAGCCCCAACUUCUGGUCACUCCCUCAAGCUAUAGACAUGAAUCCCUGGAGCUUCAGGGGAAUUACUAAGAUUUAUCAUCAGAGAAUCAAUUUAUAAUGGACUUAUCACAACUACAAAGCUCCUUGUAGGAACUCUGAGUGCACAGAUGAAUGCCACAAAAUUAAAUAAUUCAAAUGUCUUUAAAAAUCAAACUUCUCCAGCAAGAAUGAGUAAUUAUUUAAAACUCUUCGAAAGUGGGCCAUAGACUAAUUUAGUAAGUUAGGAUUUUACAACUUAAUUGGACUCAGUGCUAGAAAGAAAGUCUUAGGCCCUUUCCCAACAGCUGUUAGCUAAUGGAGGAGUCAUAUGGAUAUCAUUUGCAUUGUUGAAAUGGUGUCUCUUCUAGCAUCAAAUGGUAUCCUACUUUACGACUUCCAGACACUUUUUUUUUAUUGUUUUCCCCACAGGAAACAUUAUCCAUAUCAAAAUAAAUACUCUGCCUCCCACAUCUGAUUGUUAACCAGAAAAAGCGUAGAUUUACAAUAAUUGUCUGAAUAAUCGUUUCUUAAUUAGUUACCUGUUUUGUGUGAUUUAGUGUGAUCUUGUUUUCCUUGAGAAAUAAUGUUUUAUGUAGUCUUUUCUUGACUUUCUAAAAAAAAGCAGCAGACUAGGUUAAAAAAAAUUCUGUAGGUGAUGGGUUUCACUUGACUGUGAACAUUUCCUGGUGCUUCCCAGGUAUAUAAGACACAGGAUUCAGUUUGCACAAUAAAAAGAAAUACAGUCAUUUCCCCUACAUAGAUCUGGAAUCUACUUGCUUUCCCAUCUCUACUGGCAACUACUCUGCCCAGGCCAAUUUUACUUUCUGCUUGGACACCUGCCAUAGCUUGCUAACUGGACUCCCCAAUUCCUGUUGUGUUUGCAGUGCGUUAUCUAGUAAUCAUAGAAUCCCCCUUCAGACACUUUAAUGGUUCUUAAGAUAAAGAGCUUUGCUGUCCACCUGAACUCUGAGCCCUUGCAGUAUCUGGCUCCUGCUUGCCUCUCUCACCUCGCUGUGCUGCCCACCAGCUGCUCCCUCUGCCCGAAGGUCUGCCAUAUGGACCUUUAUUCAGAUUGGAUCCAAGUCCUUUCUUACUUCAGGGCUUCAACCUUUGCUGUUCUUUUUGCUUAGAACCUUCUUCAAACUCCACCCCUACCAGCUUGGUAAUUCCUAAUCAUUCCUCAUGUUUCAGCUUAAUUAGCACACAUUCAGAGAGCCCUCCCUGUUUCCACACAAAAGUCUGAGCCACACUGGCAUUUGCUUUGAUAAAUAGGCCCCACCGUCCAGAUGACUAGAAAAAAGUUAGUUAAGAAAGUGACAUGAAUUUAAACUUUAAUAUGACAGUGAAUCCAAAACAAAAGCCUUAUUGAAAAUUAGCAGCCUCCAGAAGUUAGUCGAAAUAACAUGAAAGCAAACAUUUUUAAACCUUUGCAACUCACUGAUUUACAUAAUACAAACUUUUAUCAUAAUUUGGGAUGGAGUGUUUUCUAAACUAAAUUACACUGCCGUGGCUUUUAAAAUCAAUCAUAUUAAAUAAAAUUAAUUGCCUCUGUAACUUGGUGCUACAAUUUUAACUGUUAUGUAGAAUCAUACUAAUAAUUGGUAGCAUCUCCAGGGACCUCUAAGAGCUAGUGCCCUUCUUCCUUGAUAAUGUCUUAGUGAGAAAGCAGAGACAUGAAAGAAAGGCUAAAAUAUCAACCUUAUGACUAAUCUGUGCUAAAAUAUCUGGUGUCAAUUUGUGUGAGAGCCAGUUGGACCUGCCUCCUGAACCCCAGAAUCAGGCAUGUUUUUGAAUUCUCUUAACUAAGGUUUUCUUGAGUGCUUCAAUGCUCCCAGUGGAGAAGACACUGUGGAAAAGAAGAGAGCUGAACCCAACAUGGUAAAUUAUUCUCCCUAAAUUUACCAAUAGGUAACUGUGAAAAAACAAUUCUCCAUGGAUUUUUCAUGUACCUGCAUAGGUAGGCAUAGUAGGGCCUUCUUAGCAAAACUUGUUUGGAUAGCAAACAGCCCUGGAAGUCAGAGGUUCAUCCAGAGGAAUUUAAAGAUGUACUUCCCCAGAAUUAUCCUGGAAUAAUAAUUAUAAUGCCCCCACCCCAUUGCCCCUUCCCAGAGACAUUUGCUUUUAUCCCAGGUGAUUCUCUCUCAAGAGCUGAGAAGAGUAGAUGUACUGGCAGGUCCAUGCAAGUCCGUCAGCUUCCUGACGUCAAGGCUCCUCUCCUGAUUUGCAGCCUCUGCAUACACAGAGAGGAAAAGAAGUAACAACAGAUCUAAUCUGGAUCAAAUGGAGGUCUGAAGAGGAUGUUUCAGAGAUGGAGAUGCUGAGACAGUGUUUAUGAGCAGGGCAAUCACAGGAAUGAAGACCGCAGACACUCAGGAGGAUUUUGGAUUAUAAAUGUGAGAGACUGAAUACACAAAGGGAAAAUAGCCAGAUUACAUAUAAAAAUAAAACUCGGACUGACAGCCUGUAGCAACCUGACCAGGAAACCAACCUCGGUGUCUACAAUAAACAGUCCAGGAAGCCAUUCUGCUAUAAAUUAGAAUUACAGGAAUCCAAAUCACUAUCUCUAAUGAUACUCCAAGAAGCUAAACAGAACUUCUGUGACAGUUGGUCCAAAUGCCCAGAACUUGGUUAAUAACAGCUUCUUCAAUUUUUGACUUUGUAUCCAACUUAGGAUCCACAUAUACCCCUAACUGAUCACAUAGGAUGCUCUGGUUCUAGUUAGCCCACCUAUAGCUUCUCCAGAACAACACCUCCAGGUAGGCUGCACCUGAAGCCUUCCCUUUUUCUACUCUAAAGCUUUCCCACUCCUCUGCCUGCUUUUGAGUCUCUAGCAAAGUUCAAAUGAAGGUGUCUGACUCCCUUGUUAUACAGCAAGCUCAGAAUAAAUAGAAUAGCCUUUGUU
Long non-coding RNA from Canis lupus familiaris (dog), 3371 nucleotides. RefSeq lists it as uncharacterized. The record is from RefSeq and is a predicted model, not a curated record. Lineage: Eukaryota; Metazoa; Chordata; Mammalia; Carnivora; Canidae. The transcript is spliced from 3 exons.